UGGCAACCAACGUUCCUUUUCCCGCGCAACGAAUUUCCUACGCCUCUAUGCCUGCGCCAGUCGGCCGGUUUCGUUUAACCUGUGUUUUGGUCGAUCAACUGAUUGACGUUAAUUUAAAAUUUUGGUUCAAAAAGUUAAAGAGGGUGUUUUUUGCGUUUAGUGUUUGUGUUUUUUUACUUGUUUUGAUUUGUUAGGUUAAGUUGUUUGUGUCAAAAAACGUUUCAUAUGGACCCCACGGAAGACAUUACGAAUAAAAUUCAUAAUUACGCAAGAACCUCUUCAACCCUGUGCAAUAUGACUGUUGUUGACGACAUCGUGUCACAGAAAAUGAUUGCCAAUGCGUAUUCAUUUUUCAAGAAGGAAAAGUUUAAUUUAAGAUGCCCUACAGAUGUUGUUACUUCAAUAUAAAGUACGCAAUGUUAUUCGAAGUGUAUGUUCCAGUAUAGAUAAUAUUGUC
This is a long non-coding RNA of Zophobas morio, 457 nucleotides long. RefSeq lists it as uncharacterized. Lineage: Eukaryota; Metazoa; Arthropoda; Insecta; Coleoptera; Tenebrionidae. The record is from RefSeq and is a predicted model, not a curated record. The transcript has 3 exons.